RNAcentral lists this long non-coding RNA (294 nucleotides) under Vulpes vulpes (red fox). RNAcentral's name for it is "lncRNA (ENSVVUG00000015417.1)". The record is from RNAcentral. Lineage: Eukaryota; Metazoa; Chordata; Mammalia; Carnivora; Canidae.
GUCCAGAUUUCAACUCUUGGCACCAUGAUCUAACAAUGACCCAGAGACUGUAAUCAGAGUAAUGAAGAUGGGGAUAGUGCUAUGAUUUGUUUCCUACUUGUAUUCUGUAUAUUUGAUAAUGCCAAUCAAAUUCCUGAUGUUAAAGAAGAAACAGAAAUUACGGACUUGCUCUUCUAUGAAACUACCAACUGAGAAAAGGACAAAAGCAGCAACAACCCUUAAAACAAAAACAAAAACAACAAAAAAUCCUAAGACUACCUUUCAAUAAUAGAAUGGAAUGACUUCAUGGUAAAG